UGUAGUGCCAGAGAGGAGUGUGUGUCAAAGCAGAAAGGGUAUUGGGCUUCCUUGAAAGCCCAUGUUUGUUGUUGUAGUUCAGAAAGGAGGUACGCAUGGAAAAAUAGGGUGCAGGACUUAACACUCAGAACUUAACACUUUCUCCAAGUUGAACCAAACUAUUUAGGAACCCUAACCGAAGAAAAUGAAAUUAAAUUGAAACGGAGGGGAAUCGAGCCUCUCCACCUUGGGGCUUUGAUUCCCCUCAUUGAGAGCUACAUGAUGGUAACAACUUUAUUAAGAAAGAAGCAAGGAGAGGAAAAUACCUAUUUGCAAGACCACGGUUUGUCUUGGAUUUCAUUGGAGGUGCAGAUGAGGAUCACGAAGAAAAGACCAGAGGAACGUUCAGGAUUUGUACACGUGGGAAGGCUUGGCAAGGCAUUUUGGUCAUGAAGAUGCUUAUACAAGUCAUCAAUAUGGAAGUCUUUCUUUGGAACACACCAAGAGUCAUGAAAAAGCUUGAAGGUUUUAGAGGCUUGGAGACUUGAAUGCACAAACAAUAAAGUGUCUUGAGGAUGAGUAGGAAAGUAGACUAGGGUUUAGGAGCAGGUUGACUUUGGUCAACUGUUUGAGCAAAAAGUCAAUAAUUGACCAAAAGUCAAUUGUAGGUCGAAAUGUAAUUUUUGUGUAAAAUUUCUAAUUUGGAUUCUUUUGUAAUGAAUGUUUGAAGGUUUUUUGAAAUUGGUCUUUGAAUGGCAA
Lathyrus oleraceus (garden pea) is the source of this 738-nucleotide long non-coding RNA. RefSeq lists it as uncharacterized. The transcript has 2 exons. NCBI's taxonomy places the organism in Eukaryota, Viridiplantae, Streptophyta, Magnoliopsida, Fabales, Fabaceae. The record is from RefSeq and is a predicted model, not a curated record.